RNAcentral lists this ribosomal RNA (253 nucleotides) under uncultured bacterium. RNAcentral describes it as "partial 16S ribosomal RNA". It matches the Rfam family "Bacterial small subunit ribosomal RNA", at positions 524 to 776 of the family's 1533-position model. The record is from RNAcentral.
GACGUAGGGCGCGAGCGUUGUCCGGAUUUAUUGGGCGUAAAGAGCUCGUAGGCGGUUCGUCGCGUCGGCUGUGAAAACCCGGAGCUCAACUCCGGGCCUGCAGUCGAUACGGGCGGACUGGAGUUCGGCAGGGGAGACUGGAAUUCCUGGUGUAGCGGUGAAAUGCGCAGAUAUCAGGAGGAACACCGGUGGCGAAGGCGGGUCUCUGGGCCGAUACUGACGCUGAGGAGCGAAAGCGUGGGGAGCGAACAGG